Megalobrama amblycephala (Wuchang bream) is the source of this 739-nucleotide long non-coding RNA. RefSeq lists it as uncharacterized. The transcript has 2 exons. The record is from RefSeq and is a predicted model, not a curated record. NCBI's taxonomy places the organism in Eukaryota, Metazoa, Chordata, Actinopteri, Cypriniformes, Xenocyprididae.
AUUUGUUUUCUGCUGAAGAAACAAAGUCACCUACAUCUUGGAUUCCCUGGGGAAAUCUCAAAGAGGAAAUAAGCAACAGUUAAAACAUCAUCAAAACAGUCAUGCCCGCCUCCUCCACUAUCAGUCAAAGUUUGGAUGAAUCCACAUUUAUGUGCCAACAUUGCUGCAAUUUCCUCAUUUUUAUCAGACAAAAUGCGUCACCAACCUGUUUUUAUGACAUUUGUUCACAUUACACCCAUGAUGCAACGUGUACAGUCAUACAGCAAUUAACCUACAGUCAUUUCAAAAAGCCUUUUUUCUUUCCAUUUCACUGUAAAUGAUUAUUUGUUGUUUUCAAAGUAUAUUGCAGCUGUAUUUCCAACAAUACUGCAGAAAUGGUAACACUUAUAAUGUUCACAAAUGAAACCUUAUUGUAAACUACAUUAGUUAAUGUGAAUUAAAACUAUGGGGAUUUAUUAAUCUUUGUUAAUGUUAAACUCAGCAUUUACUAAUACAUUUUAAAAUCAAAUGUUGUAUCUGUUAACAUUAGUUAAUGCUCUGGGAACUAACAUGAUCAUUUUUAUUUUUCCAUUAAGAAAGAUUAAUAAAUGCUGUAAGAAUAUAUUGCACAUUGUUAGAUAAUGCAUGUUAACAAAUCAGACCUAUUGUAAAGUGUUACUAAUAAUUUUUUCAGUACAUUUAUUGUGGAAUGAAACACAUUGGCAUGUAUUUCCCAUAUUAAACAAAUUGUUUUCCUAUA